This 63-nucleotide transfer RNA is filed under the name Escherichia coli B106. Its description in RNAcentral is "partial tRNA-Leu". It matches the Rfam family "tRNA", at positions 14 to 71 of the family's 71-position model. From Rfam's summary of the family: Transfer RNA (tRNA) molecules are approximately 80 nucleotides in length. Their secondary structure includes four short double-helical elements and three loops (D, anti-codon, and T loops). Lineage: Bacteria; Pseudomonadati; Pseudomonadota; Gammaproteobacteria; Enterobacterales; Enterobacteriaceae. The record is from RNAcentral.
AGUGGUGAGAGCGAGCGACUCAUAAUCGCCAGGCCGCUGGUUCAAAUCCAGCAAGGGCCACCA